UUUAUAAAGUAUAAAAUAUUUACAAAUUUAGAAUUACCAAAUCUAACCCGAGGGGUAGCUCAGUUCUUCAAUGGUCACCAAUUCGAGUCCGGGUCAUUGAGGUGAGUACCGGCUGUAAACUUGAAAGCCCGUGGCCCGUGGAAUUAGUGGGAUGUGCCAAAAAAAAAAAAGAAGAAGAAGAAAAAUAAAGAAAAAGAAAAAAGAAAAAAGAAAAAAAAGAAAAGGAAAAAGAAUUACCAAAUCCAGACCCUUCCCAACAUCCCUCUUCAUCACUAAAAGUUGCAGGAUUGUUAAAUUUUCAUAUCCUAAUUUCUAAUUAUAGGCAAAGAAAUUAACCCCCCACUAAUGUCAGAUUAUAGAGAGUGAGAAACCAAUUAUUAUAAGACCUAAAGGAAGAGGAUGUAUCUGAUCAGAAUAACUAGCAAUCCUGUAGAUCAGUUCUCUAUGCAGAACAAGAGAAACGAUAAAUAUGAUGUAAAAGGUAAGAAGAAGAUUAACAUUGUAUCAUCGCCAACCAAAAAUCUCCAUCCUAGAAUAGAA
Molecule: long non-coding RNA, 540 nt
Filed under: Olea europaea subsp. europaea
Lineage: Eukaryota; Viridiplantae; Streptophyta; Magnoliopsida; Lamiales; Oleaceae
Source: RNAcentral